Molecule: non-coding RNA, 45 nt
Filed under: Schistosoma haematobium
Lineage: Eukaryota; Metazoa; Platyhelminthes; Trematoda; Strigeidida; Schistosomatidae
Source: RNAcentral
AUCCAGCUGACGAUUUCGAAAUAGAAUGAAACGCGCGUCCUGGAU